Molecule: ribosomal RNA, 914 nt
Filed under: uncultured marine archaeon
Lineage: Archaea
Description: bacterial SSU rRNA
Rfam family: Archaeal small subunit ribosomal RNA
Source: RNAcentral
UUCCGGUUGAUCCUGCCGGACCUGACUGCUAUCGGAUUGAUACUAAGCCAUGCUAGUCUUUGUAGUAAUACAAGGCAUACGGCUCAGUAACGCGUAGUCAACCUACCCUAUGGACGGGGAUAAUCUCGGGAAACUGAGCAUAAUACCCGGUAGACCACUUAUCCUGGAAUGGUUAGUGGUUAAAAUGAUUCGUCGCCAUAGGAUGGGACUGCGGCCUAUCAGCUUGUUGGUGAGGUAAUGGCCCACCAAGGCGAUUACAGGUACGGGCUCUGAGAGGAGAGGCCCGGAGAUGGGUACUGAGACAAGGACCCAGGCCCUAUGGGGCGCAGCAGGCGAGAAAACUUUGCAAUGUGCGAAAGCACGACAAGGUUAAUCCGAGUGAUUUCUGCUAAAGGAAUCUUUUGUUAGUUCUAAAAAUACUAGUGAAUAAGGGGUGGGCAAGUUCUGGUGUCAGCCGCCGCGGUAAAACCAGCACCUCAAGUGGUCAGGAGGAUUAUUGGGCCUAAAGCAUCCGUAGCCUGUUCUAUAAGUUUGCGGUUAAAUCUAUACGCUCAACGUAUAGGCUGCCGUAAAUACUGUAGAACUAGGGAGUGGGAGAGGUAGACGGUACUCGAUAGGAAGGGGUAAAAUCCUUUGAUCUAUUGAUGACCACCUGUGGCGAAGGCGGUCUACCAGAACACGUUCGACGGUGAGGGAUGAAAGCUGGGGGAGCAAACCGGAUUAGAUACCCGGGUAGUCCCAGCUGUAAACGAUGCAGACUCGAUGAUGCAAUGGCAUAGAGCUAUUGCAGUAUCGCAGGGAAGCCGUUAAGUCUGCCGCCUGGGAAGUACGUACGCAAGUAUGAAACUUAAAGGAAUUGGCGGGGGAGCACCACAAGGGGUGAAGCCUGCGGUUCAAUUGGAGUCAACGCCGGG